RNAcentral lists this ribosomal RNA (468 nucleotides) under uncultured bacterium. RNAcentral describes it as "partial 16S ribosomal RNA". It matches the Rfam family "Bacterial small subunit ribosomal RNA", at positions 28 to 507 of the family's 1533-position model. The record is from RNAcentral.
GACGAACGCUGGCGGCGUGCUUAACACAUGCAAGUCGAACGGAAAGGCCCUGCUUUUGUGGGGUGCUCGAGUGGCGAACGGGUGAGUAACACGUGAGUAACCUGCCCUUGACUUUGGGAUAACUUCAGGAAACUGGGGCUAACACCGGAUAGGAGCUCCUGCUGCAUGGUGGGGGUUGGAACGUUUCGGCGGUUGGGGAUGGACUGGGGGCUUAUUAGCUUGUUGGUGGGGUAGUGGCUUACCAAGGGUUUGACGGGUAGCCGGCCUGGGAGGGUGAACGGCCACAUUGGGCCUGAGAUACGGCCCAGACUGCUACAGGAGGCAGCAGUGGGGAAUAUUGUCCAAUGGGCGGGAGCCUGAUGCAGCAACGCCGCGUGCGGGAUGACGGCCUUCGUGUUGUAAACCGCUUUCGCCUGUGACGAAGCGUGAGUGACGGUAAUGGGUAAAGAAGCACCGGCUAACUACGUG